RNAcentral lists this ribosomal RNA (253 nucleotides) under uncultured bacterium. RNAcentral describes it as "partial 16S ribosomal RNA". It matches the Rfam family "Bacterial small subunit ribosomal RNA", at positions 524 to 776 of the family's 1533-position model. The record is from RNAcentral.
UACGGAGGGUCCGAGCGUUAAUCGGAAUUACUGGGCGUAAAGCGCACGCAGGCGGUUUGUUAAGCUAGAUGUGAAAGCCCCGGGCUCAACCUGGGAGGGUCAUUUAGAACUGGCAGACUAGAGUUUUGGAGAGGGGAGUGGAAUUCCAGGUGUAGCGGUGAAAUGCGUAGAUAUCUGGAGGAACAUCAGUGGCGAAGGCGGCACCCUGGACUCAUACUGACACUGAGGUGCGAAAGCGUGGGGAGCAAACAGG